RNAcentral lists this ribosomal RNA (1504 nucleotides) under uncultured bacterium. Its description in RNAcentral is "partial 16S ribosomal RNA". It matches the Rfam family "Bacterial small subunit ribosomal RNA". The record is from RNAcentral.
UAGAGUUUGAUCAUGGCUCAGGAUGAACGCUAGCGACAGGCUUAACACAUGCAAGUCGAGGGGCAUCGGGGCGAGGAGCAAUCCUUGCCGCCGGCGACCGGCGCACGGGUGAGUAACGCGUAUGCGACCUGCCCGUUGCAGGGGGAUAAUCGGGAGAAAUCCCGUCUAAUACCGCGUAACGCCGCGGGGCUGCAUGGCCCUGCGGCCAAAGGAAGCGAUUCCGGCAACGGAUGGGCAUGCGUGACAUUAGCUAGUUGGCGGGGCAACGGCCCACCAAGGCGACGAUGUCUAGGGGUUCUGAGAGGAAGGUCCCCCACACUGGUACUGAGACACGGACCAGACUCCUACGGGAGGCAGCAGUGAGGAAUAUUGGUCAAUGGGCGCGAGCCUGAACCAGCCAAGUCGCGUGAGGGAUGACGGCCCUACGGGUUGUAAACCUCUUUUGUCGGGGAGCAAAUUCCGCCACGUGUGGCGGAGUCGAGAGUACCCGAAGAAAAAGCAUCGGCUAACUCCGUGCCAGCAGCCGCGGUAAUACGGAGGAUGCGAGCGUUAUCCGGAUUUAUUGGGUUUAAAGGGUGCGUAGGCGGACUGUCAAGUCAGCGGUAAAAUACGGGGGCUCAACCUCCGCCCGCCGUUGAAACUGACGGUCUUGAGUGGGCGAGAAGUAUGCGGAAUGCGUGGUGUAGCGGUGAAAUGCAUAGAUAUCACGCAGAACUCCGAUUGCGAAGGCAGCAUACCGGCGCCCAACUGACGCUGAAGCACGAAAGCGUGGGUAUCGAACAGGAUUAGAUACCCUGGUAGUCCACGCAGUAAACGAUGAAUACUAGCUGUCCGGGGCGAAUGAGCCCUGGGUGGCACAGCGAAAGCGUUAAGUAUUCCACCUGGGGAGUACGCCGGCAACGGUGAAACUCAAAGGAAUUGACGGGGGCCCGCACAAGCGGAGGAACAUGUGGUUUAAUUCGAUGAUACGCGAGGAACCUUACCCGGGCUCAAACGACACAGGAACGUACCUGAAAGGGUUCGGCUCUACGGAGCCUGUGUCGAGGUGCUGCAUGGUUGUCGUCAGCUCGUGCCGUGAGGUGUCGGCUUAAGUGCCAUAACGAGCGCAACCCCCAUCGACAGUUGCUAACAGGUCAGGCUGAGGACUCUGUCGAGACUGCCGGCGCAAGCUGCGAGGAAGGCGGGGAUGACGUCAAAUCAGCACGGCCCUUACGUCCGGGGCGACACACGUGUUACAAUGGCAGGUACAGCGGGAAGCCACCUGGCGACAGGGAGCGGAACCCGAAAGCCUGUCUCAGUUCGGAUUGGAGUCUGCAACCCGACUCCAUGAAGCUGGAUUCGCUAGUAAUCGCGCAUCAGCCACGGCGCGGUGAAUACGUUCCCGGGCCUUGUACACACCGCCCGUCAAGCCAUGGAAGCCGGGGGUGCCUGAAGUGCGCUGCCGCGAGGAGCGCCCUAGGGUAAAACCGGUGACUGGGGCUAAGUCGUAACAAGGUAACCGUAA